Molecule: ribosomal RNA, 1941 nt
Filed under: Triticum aestivum (bread wheat)
Lineage: Eukaryota; Viridiplantae; Streptophyta; Magnoliopsida; Poales; Poaceae
Description: partial small subunit ribosomal RNA
Source: RNAcentral
AUGAUCCUGGUCAUGUUGUGGAUUGGUCUUGUGCAGAUCGUGGGUACCAAUGCCACCGCGAUAGUGGCCAGUGAUUCAAGAGAAGGUCGAAGCAUCACCCCUGCUAAAGUGCAGCUUCUUCAAGCAAUAUGGACAUCCUACCUUGCCUACAUCAUCAUAGAGUCAGGUGGUCAUCCAUCUGGAUAUGUCAAAUGGUCUAAAGAUAAUAUCUAUUAUCUCAUCUUUGCAAUACCAUAUGCUCUUAUCCUGGCCAAACUGCUUUUCAAGUACUAUGCAUGGUACAAAGCCAAGAAAUCAUUAGCAUUUGGACGUAAUCCUCGUCUCAUUGUUGGAUAUAUGGAUCAACUACGCUAUGGAACCCAUCAUGCUAGACUAGUAACUCAGCAGAUACCUCCUCCACUUAUAGUUAUGAGAGAGGGCAAUGUUUUGGUAGAAAACCAACCUCAUGGCUACAGCUUGACAAGGAUGAGCAACAAUGGAAUAGUGACGAUCGACCAAGUUUGGAAGUUGGAUGAUACAGUCCUUCCGAGGCCAACGGAGCAACACAAGGAUUUAUGCCUUUCAUUUGCAUUGUUCAAGCUAUUGCGGUGUCGAUUUGCAAGGUACACAAUUAGUGAGGAUGCCUCUAUGAAAGUAAGCAACUUUAUAAGACAUUUGUUGCUCACGGAUUCUGAUGAUGAAAGGGUCCUUGGGGUGAUUGCACAUGAGCUUUCAUUUCUUCAUGAUUACUAUUAUACAUCCAUUCCAAUAUCAUAUUCACGAAGAUGGCUACCCAUAUUGAGUAUAUCUGUUUCACUCUCAAGCAUCGGCUACUGCUUAAUUGCCAUCGUGUAUUGUGUACUUGUGUUUAGUGGUCCGGAUGGUUGCCAGAUCGGUUACCAUAGAGUGUAUUGUCAUUCUCCUUCUGACACUAUGUAUAUCCCUAUUGAUGAGAUGCGUUUGGGAGAAUUGUAUCAAGGAAUAUUAUACUUUGACCUUCUUCCGGUAUAUCUGCUUGCUGCACUAGUUGUGCUUGUUGAAGUGAGGGAAAUUACUUCUUGCACUUGCUCCAACUGGACCAAAGUAGCCCUAAUUUGUGGCUACGUAACACAUACAUCUUGGCGGCGAUCUCUGAUAGUUGGUAAAUGCAUUGGUCUCGUGCUGAGCUCCAGAUGCAAGCUGUUGGGGAGCUGGGAGGACAAGAUGAACCAGUGCUCAAUCCUAGUGGUUCACCCAAGUAUUAAUCCAAUGGUUAUUCUUCGACUUAUCUUUCAUCUCCCUGACCACAAGAAGAAGGUCCCAAGAGUGGUGAAGGUUGCCGUCGUCGAUGCAGUGAGAAUGUUCGACCCAAAAAAAAUCAGGCACCGAAGCAACCCUGGUGCAACACCUCUACGACUACAGCUACAGGUCGGCAGGGAACUCCUUUGGACAUUCCAUGGAGCCAAAGGAGUAGCUGAUGCCAUGCUCAUGUGUCAUGUCGCCACAAGCAUCCUUGCAAUGGCGAGUUCACAACGUCAACUUCUCUCCGACCAUGAGAUCGUCGCCACUCACUUGUCACGAUACUGCGCCUAUUUGGUGGCGUACUCUCCCAAGCUACUCCCCGAUGAUGCCGUUUGGUGCAAGAGCUUGUACACGGCCGUCAAGAAGGAUGCCGAACGCUCCCUUGCUGAUUCUGGCAUUACAAUAUCAACGUCCGAAAUGGACUAUGGGCGGCUGGUCGAGCUGCUGAGCAUGCGGUCAAAGCACCAUGUGCUUAGGGAUGGUGUGGAGCUUGGGUGGCGGCUGGCGGAGCUGCCGGAAGGAGAGGAGGUGGCGUGGAAGUCCCUUGCUGAGUUCUGGUCGGAAACCGUCGUUUGCAUCGCCGCUUCUUGUGACGACAUGGACGAGCAUGCGGAGGCCAUUGCCCGGGGCGGAGAGCUGAUAACGCUCCUAUGGGCGUUGCUUUACCAUGUCGGGAGUGUU